CGCCACACAGCUUGCUCGCGGGAGGACAGGGAAGCUGCUUCACAGAUCCCUUCCCCUGCCUCCUGACACAGAAGCAGAGUAGGCGCCUGCCGUUUUGGGCAGGCAGGUGCCUACUCUGCAUUGAUGGCGAACCUAUGGCCACGUGCCCACAGAAAGGGCCUGGCCUGCCACCUGUGGCACGUGUGCCAUAGGUUCGCCAUCACUGCUCUAUACAAUAACUCCUAGUGGAGACUUUGAUUGGACGUCCUAGAAGUCAGCCACUUUCAAGCCUGCUUAUAAGGGUUAUUCUAAUCCCCUAUCCAGCAGAUAUAUAUACUAUAGACCCUACUAUGAUUUGAGUUGAGGUCACUAUGAGAUUUUUUUAGGGAGGACUUACCCUUAAUCUUUACAUAAGUGGCUCGGAGGAUUAGUAUGAUCCCCCUCCUCUUGUACUGUUUAAAUUAUUUCCCCACUUUCCCUGUUAUUACUUUUUAACAAUUAGUAGAUAUACCACGCAAUCCUAGCAAUAAUAAAGGUAUUUUUCAUAAUUAAGCAAUUGGAUUAGCUGUGGCAUAGUAUUAUGUAGUGUUAUCUUCCUUUAUCACACUUUAAUUCGGCACAUGGGGGACUUGAUCUAAUUAGUUUACAACUCUAUACAGGAGUGUCAUUCCAAUACUUUGGUUCCCUUUGGGAAUAUUUACUAUUGUUUUUGCAGACAGGGUCAGUCCCUUUUAUUGGAAGACACAAGGACCUCACCUUAUCUGUUCUCUUGUCUCUAAGGUUGUGAUACAUACUGGAACUCUACUGGUAUUCUACAGAUUUCUCUAUAGACUUCCCCCAGUUAGUACAUUAUUUCCCAUAUAUGAGAUUAGGGUAGAUGUGAUGUUUUGAAGACUGUAUCUGAAUAUCCAAGCAAGGAUGGGUGGUUUCCCUCCCAUAAAAUGUUGAGUUUAUCCCUGAAUCCCCUUGUGUCAGACUCUGAAACCUAUGAUUGAUACAAUAUCACAUCAUCUUACAAUGACAUAUGUGAAUCAGUGAUAAUUUUAGAGGCAAAUUUGAAUUUAGUUUUAGUCAUAGUCUUUUGACUAAAAAGUCAUUUUAGUUUUAGUCGUAUUUUAGUCAUCUGAAUUGUUUUAGUCGACUAAAUCUCCAGUAGACUAAGAUUGAAUGGGUUUAGUUAAAGCCUCUAUCUGUCCAUCUCUAUGUCUAACUCUAUAUGCCCCUUCCCCAGCUCCUCUGUGUCUCUUUGUGUUCUCCUUCUAAGUGUCUCUCUCCCAAGUCCUGGUCUGUCUCUUUUGCCGUUUCCACAGCUCCUCUGCGCAGUGUUAAUAUUGGCGGCAAAAUGUAAUCUAAUUUUAGUCAUAAUCUUUUGGUUUUAGUAGUAUUUUAGUCAUCUGAAUUGUUUUAGUAUUAGUCGACUAAAAUUUGAGUAAAAUUGUUAGUUGAAAACAAUUAACACUGAUGAAUAUGGGUCUUCUUUAUAUUCAUGUUUUAUAUUCAUGUUUUAAGUAAAUAUAUAUAUAUAUCUCAAACCUUGAUGUCCUCCUAAGAAACAUCUCUGCCAUCUCUCAAAAUGUAUUCAAAUUAGCUGAAAUUAAUAUCUGCUAGAGAACUUUUCUAAAGCCUAAAUUUCAUUCAUAUGGGUCAGCCUUAAAAUGAUACAAUGUGUUGGAAAAACAUUUCCAUUGAAUUACCUAAAAAAUUCUCAUAGAUGUCAGGAGGUACGUCAUUUCAAAUAUUUAAAGGGACACUGUAAAAGGACACUAUAGUCACCAAAACA
Molecule: long non-coding RNA, 1759 nt
Filed under: Pelobates cultripes (western spadefoot toad)
Lineage: Eukaryota; Metazoa; Chordata; Amphibia; Anura; Pelobatidae
Source: RNAcentral